GACGAACGCUGGCGGCGUGCCUAAUACAUGCAAGUCGAACGCAGUGGGGACGGGUGAGUAACAAGUGGGUGACCGCCCAGCAGAGGGGAUAACACUUGGAAACAGGUGCUAAACCGCUACUGGUGGAGGGACCCGCGGGGGAUUAGCUUGUUGGGUGGGUAACGGCCCACCAAGGCUACGAUGCAUAGCCGGCCUGAGAGGGUUAUCGGCCACACGGGAACGGAGACACGGUCCAGACUCCUACGGGAGGCAGCAGUGGGGAAUCUUCGGCAAUGGACGAAAGCCUGACCGAGCAACGCCGCGUGAGUGAAGAAGGUUUUCGGAUCGUAAAGCUCUGUUGUCGGAGAAGCGUUAUCUACCCAGAAAGCCCCGGCUAACUCCGUGCCAGCAGCCGCGGUAAUAC
RNAcentral lists this ribosomal RNA (403 nucleotides) under uncultured bacterium. RNAcentral describes it as "partial 16S ribosomal RNA". It matches the Rfam family "Bacterial small subunit ribosomal RNA", at positions 28 to 526 of the family's 1533-position model. The record is from RNAcentral.